AUUGAACGCUGGCGGCAGGCCUAACACAUGCAAGUCGAACGGUAACAGGAAGAAGCUUGCUUCUUUGCUGACGAGUGGCGGACGGGUGAGUAAUGUCUGGGAAACUGCCUGAUGGAGGGGGAUAACUACUGGAAACGGUAGCUAAUACCGCAUAACGUCGCAAGACCAAAAAGGGGGACCUUCGGGCCUCUUGCCAUCGGAUGUGCCCAGAUGGGAUUAGCUAGUAGGUGGGGUAACGGCUCACCUAGGCGACGAUCCCUAGCUGGUCUGAGAGGAUGACCAGCCACACUGGAACUGAGACACGGUCCAGACUCCUACGGGAGGCAGCAGUGGGGAAUAUUGCACAAUGGGCGCAAGCCUGAUGCAGCCAUGCCGCGUGUAUGAAGAAGGCCUUCGGGUUGUAAAGUACUUUCAGCGGGGAGGAAGGGAGUAAAGUUAAUACCUUUGCUCACUGACGUUACCCGCAGAAGAAGCACCGGCUAACUCCGUG
This 490-nucleotide ribosomal RNA is filed under the name uncultured bacterium. Its description in RNAcentral is "partial 16S ribosomal RNA". It matches the Rfam family "Bacterial small subunit ribosomal RNA", at positions 30 to 507 of the family's 1533-position model. The record is from RNAcentral.